Poeciliopsis prolifica (blackstripe livebearer) is the source of this 203-nucleotide long non-coding RNA. RefSeq lists it as uncharacterized. Lineage: Eukaryota; Metazoa; Chordata; Actinopteri; Cyprinodontiformes; Poeciliidae. The transcript has 3 exons. The record is from RefSeq and is a predicted model, not a curated record.
AGAGGCUCCACCUUCUUUCCCGUGUUGGCAGCGUUGAUUGUGAGCGGGAGAUCUGACGCUGAUCAGACAGCUGAGCCAGAAACCACUAAGAUCAGUUGGAACUGUUGCACUUUCUGGCAGUUGAUUGGCAGUUGUUUUCAGUUCAACUGAAGUGCCCUCCGUGUCUGGAAUGAGAGUCCCUGUCUAGUUGUUUUGAACGUGCC